This 479-nucleotide ribosomal RNA is filed under the name Fusarium chlamydosporum. RNAcentral's name for it is "eukaryotic LSU rRNA". The stretch from base 125 to 278 matches the Rfam family "5.8S ribosomal RNA". Lineage: Eukaryota; Fungi; Ascomycota; Sordariomycetes; Hypocreales; Nectriaceae. The record is from RNAcentral.
UGUGACAUACCUAUACGUUGCCUCGGCGGAUCAGCCCGCGCCCCGUAAAAAGGGACGGCCCGCCCGAGGACCCCUAAACUCUGUUUUUAGUGGAACUUCUGAGUAAAACAAACAAAUAAAUCAAAACUUUCAACAACGGAUCUCUUGGUUCUGGCAUCGAUGAAGAACGCAGCAAAAUGCGAUAAGUAAUGUGAAUUGCAGAAUUCAGUGAAUCAUCGAAUCUUUGAACGCACAUUGCGCCCGCCAGUAUUCUGGCGGGCAUGCCUGUUCGAGCGUCAUUUCAACCCUCAAGCUCAGCUUGGUGUUGGGACUCGCGGUAACCCGCGUUCCCCAAAUCGAUUGGCGGUCACGUCGAGCUUCCAUAGCGUAGUAAUCAUACACCUCGUUACUGGUAAUCGUCGCGGCCACGCCGUAAAACCCCAACUUCUGAAUGUUGACCUCGGAUCAGGUAGGAAUACCCGCUGAACUUAAGCAUAUCA